Molecule: long non-coding RNA, 689 nt
Organism: Bombyx mori (domestic silkworm)
Lineage: Eukaryota; Metazoa; Arthropoda; Insecta; Lepidoptera; Bombycidae
Exons: 3
Source: RefSeq, a predicted model, not a curated record
AAAGAGAAUGUGGUUAUAAAAUUAAUGAAUGACGGAUUGUAAGAAGGUUCUAUACAAAUUUUAUAACGGCAAUGUCUUCAGCUGUCAACAGCUAACCCAAUCUUCAAAUUUUUAGAUUAAUUGGGUACUUGCUUAUUAAUACUACCUUACUAUUUAUCCUUAGCUCUUUAUCUACCGUAUCAUUUGAUCCUCAACAUAAUCGCGUUAGUCAAUCUCGUCAAUAUUUUUUUUACCUGGACGAUCUAAAAUCACGUGCGUCUGCUGCUGGACGUAGGCUUCGACCAAGCUUGGCCACAACAACCGGUCUUGCAGGCUGCACACGACCGUUGGCUUUUGUAAAUUACGACAUCUCAGCGGUUGCUGUAAAUUACGCAUCCUCCAUCCUAGACCCAGUAGGGCACUUGCGGUCCACUUAUAUUUUGUCCAUGCUCUGCGGAAUACCCCGAAAAGUGAGGUUAGAAAGAGUGGCGUUUCGGCCCCUGCAAGUUUCUUUAACAUCGUGAUAACGCGUAAAGCAAGAAUACGUGUCCUCAGCAUCCGUCCCUAAUGCAGGGACUGACACUCUCGAGGGAUCGCGGGGCAACAGCUGUCAGCUUCCUUGGCGUUACACUGCACGUUCACGAAAUAAUAACAUGAAUUUACUAAAACGACACGUAUUCAUUCUUAAUUUAAUUAAUAAAUAUUAUUUC